Molecule: long non-coding RNA, 1141 nt
Organism: Acinonyx jubatus (cheetah)
Lineage: Eukaryota; Metazoa; Chordata; Mammalia; Carnivora; Felidae
Exons: 2
Source: RefSeq, a predicted model, not a curated record
AAAGAAGGAAAAAAAGAAAGAAGAAAUUUCUGUUUUUUAGAAGCACUGCUCUGUGGUAUUUUGUUAUAGCAGCCUGAACAGACAAAACCACCAUGCUGCCUCCCUGGCCUAUAAUACAGCUCUCUCCUGGAGCUCUGUGAUAUUGUGGUUUAUAUUAAGAAAUAUAUAUUUGGUCCUCCUCCCUGGUUCCUGGCAAAUAACUCCUAAAACCUUUGUAAUUUCUUAAGUGAUAAGAGUUAUAGGGGCAUCUCUCUUUCUCAGUUCUGAAAUAGCUCCAGAAUGAAAUGGAUGUCUUUUGUUAUUCAUAACAAGCCCCUUUCAACCACAUCUGAAUUUAUAUUAAUACAAUGACUUUUGGAAAGUCCCUAAGGAUACUGGGGGCUGGUUGCCAGGGGAACCAACUGUGUGAUUAGAGGGUUGGAACUUUCAGUCCCACCCCACUCUGACCUCUGGUGAGGGGAGAGGAACUACAGGUUGACUCAAUGGCCAAUGAUUUAAUCAAACAUGCAUUCUUAAUGAAGCCUGCAUAAAAACCCAAAAAGGAUGGAUUUGGAGAGCUUCCAGCCCAUUUGCCAGACGUUCUGGUUUACGUCUACAAACCUCUGCCUCAGGGCCAUGCCCUCACAGUUACAGUCAGGAGUGCAGUCUCCUGCCACAUCCAGGUUGAUCUCCUGGAACCAUCUCUGAUACCAACAAAGAAGUUCAGUGUUCUCCAUGUUUAGGCACCCUAUUCAGAGUGGAUUCUUUCAAAACAACAAAAAAAGAAAAACCUAAUGGUGCUAAUGUACAAGUAGUUUCUGAAGCUGAAAAUAUUGGUGUUUUUUUAAAUUGCUAAAAAAAAUUUUUUUAGCAAGAGAGAGAGCAUGUGCAUGUGAGAGUGGGGGAGAGGGGCAGAAGGAGAGAGAAAGAAUCCCAAGCAGUUUCUGUGUUCAGCACAGAGGCCAAUGCGGGACUCAAUCCCAUGACCCUGGGAUCAUGACCUGAGCCGAAAUCAAGAGUCGGACACUCAACCAACUGAGUGACCAGGCGCCCUUGAAAAUAUUAAGUGUUUUUGAUAUUUUAUUCUUUUCUCCUGGGUUCCAUGUUCAAACAGUGGCAACUUGUAUUGAAUAAAUAUAAUAUCUUUAUGGUGUCUCUCUCA